AUAUCAGUCAUGCAUAGCAUAUCAAUAAGCGGAGGAAAAGAAACUAACAAGGAUUCCCUUAGUAACGGCGAGUGAAGCGGGAAGAGCUCAAAUUUGAAAUCUUCAAGGUUUUACCUUGACGAAUUGUAGUUUAAAGAAGUGUUUUCUGUUGAAGUUUUGGUAAAAGUUCUUUGGAAUAGGACAUCAUAGAGGGUGAGAAUCCCGUAUUUGACCAUUACUUUCAGCUUUGUGAUACACUUUCAAAGAGUCGGAUUGUUUGGGAAUGCAGUCCAAAAUGGGUGGUAAAUUUCAUCUAAAGCUAAAUAUUGGCGAGAGACCGAUAGCGAACAAGUACCGUGAGGGAAAGAUGAAAAGAACUUUGAAAAGAGAGUUAAACAGUACGUGAAAUUGUCAAAAGGGAAGCGUUUGACACCAGUGUUGUUUUCUCGAAAAUCAAUUAAAAAGAGUUGGGAUUUUGUGUUGUAUUGACUUUAUCAGGCUUUCUUCACUCUUUUCCAGCUUUUUUUAAUGCACUUUUCGUUUAACAAGUCAACAUCAGUUUCUUUUGUUGUAAAAAGGUCAUUGGAAGGUGGCUUUCUCUUCGGAGAAAGUGUUUAUAGCCUUUGACUCAUGCAAUCGGAGAGACUGAGGUCUGCAGCGUAGAUCCUUCGGGGUUAGAUACAUUUGUGCUAAGUUAUAGCUUUUCAUAGACAACUUGUUGACUAUGUUUAGUCUUGUAGCUUACUCGCUUAUGCUAUUUUACCUACGCUUAGGAUGUUGAACUCUAUCACACACAG
RNAcentral lists this ribosomal RNA (776 nucleotides) under uncultured Neocallimastigales. Its description in RNAcentral is "partial large subunit ribosomal RNA". It matches the Rfam family "Eukaryotic large subunit ribosomal RNA", at positions 22 to 621 of the family's 3401-position model. The record is from RNAcentral. Lineage: Eukaryota; Fungi; Neocallimastigomycota; Neocallimastigomycetes; Neocallimastigales.